CCGUAAACCUAAAUAUCUAAUCAACAAAGUUAUUCGCCAGAGCACUACAAGCAACAGCUUAAAACUCAAAGGACUUGGCGGUGCUUUAUACCCCACUAGAGGAGCCUGUUCUAUAAUCGAUAAACCCCGAUAAACCUCACCACCCCUUGCUAAUUCAACCUAUAUACCGCCAUCUUCAGCAAACCCUGCUAAGGCAACAAAGUAAGCAAGAGAAUCAUACAUUAAAACGUUAGGUCAAGGUGUAGUCCAUGAGGUGGGAAGAAAUGGGCUACAUUUUCUACCUACCAUAGAGCAAUUAACGCUAGCCCAUAUGAAACAAUUGGCAAAAGGCGGAUUUAGUAGUAAAUUAAGAAUAGAGAGCUUAAUUGAAUAGGGCAAUGAAGC
Molecule: ribosomal RNA, 384 nt
Filed under: Otolemur garnettii (small-eared galago)
Lineage: Eukaryota; Metazoa; Chordata; Mammalia; Primates; Galagidae
Description: partial 12S ribosomal RNA
Rfam family: Bacterial small subunit ribosomal RNA
Source: RNAcentral